This 466-nucleotide long non-coding RNA is filed under the name Mytilus galloprovincialis (Mediterranean mussel). Lineage: Eukaryota; Metazoa; Mollusca; Bivalvia; Mytilida; Mytilidae. The record is from RNAcentral.
GUUUGUUAUAAUAGAUAUUUAUGUUGAACCAUCUUUAUAUUUGCUAGCUUUUAACUUACAUGUACUUAUACCGGUUUAUUAUAUAUAUAUUUAAUGAAUAUUACUAACAACCACUAACUCCUGUAUAUAUAAAUAUCAUUACUAAUGUUGACGAGGUCGGGAUAAGGUACCGGUAAUCGAUGUUUUAAACUAACAAAUGUAAAGAUUUCAAUAAAAUAUAUAUAAACCUAAAAAAAAAAAAAAAAAAAAAAAAAAAAAAAACAUUUGUGCACUUUUGACAGAAGAGCCUAAAAUAAGACAGCCAAUGGAUUCCCAUGUGAAAGCAUGAUCACGCAUUUAAAAUACUUUUAAUUCAUAAAUUAUUUCAGAGAUGAUUUUUGAAGAAUGGACAAAAAUCUGAGAUAAAUAACUGCAACAUCAUGGAUAUAUUGUAUACAAUAUCAGAAUGGAAGUUCUUUUUAAAGCA